RNAcentral lists this small RNA (83 nucleotides) under Marmota monax (woodchuck). The record is from RNAcentral. Lineage: Eukaryota; Metazoa; Chordata; Mammalia; Rodentia; Sciuridae.
GCCAGGUGUGGUGAUGCACACCUGUAAUCCCAGCAGCUUGGGAGGCUGAGGCAGGAGGAGGGCAAGUUCAGAGCCAGCCUCAG